GACGAACGCUGGCGGCGUGCCUAAUACAUGCAAGUAGAACGCUGAAGGAGGAGCUUGCUUCUCUGGAUGAGUUGCGAACGGGUGAGUAACGCGUAGGUAACCUGCCUGGUAGCGGGGGAUAACUAUUGGAAACGAUAGCUAAUACCGCAUAAGAGUAGAUGUUGCAUGACAUUCGCUUAAAAGGUGCAAUUGCAUCACUACCAGAUGGACCUGCGUUGUAUUAGCUAGUUGGUGGGGUAACGGCUCACCAAGGCGACGAUACAUAGCCGACCUGAGAGGGUGAUCGGCCACACUGGGACUGAGACACGGCCCAGACUCCUACGGGAGGCAGCAGUAGGGAAUCUUCGGCAAUGGACGGAAGUCUGACCGAGCAACGCCGCGGGAGUGAAGAAGGGUGUCGGAUCGUAAAGCUCGGUUGUAAGAGAAGAACGAGUGUGAGAGUGGAAAGUUCACACUGUGACGGUAUCUUACCAGAAAGGGACGGCUAACUACGUG
RNAcentral lists this ribosomal RNA (495 nucleotides) under uncultured bacterium. Its description in RNAcentral is "partial 16S ribosomal RNA". It matches the Rfam family "Bacterial small subunit ribosomal RNA", at positions 28 to 507 of the family's 1533-position model. The record is from RNAcentral.